This 440-nucleotide ribosomal RNA is filed under the name uncultured bacterium. Its description in RNAcentral is "partial 16S ribosomal RNA". It matches the Rfam family "Bacterial small subunit ribosomal RNA", at positions 338 to 795 of the family's 1533-position model. The record is from RNAcentral.
CCUACGGGAGGCAGCAGUAGGGAAUAUUGCUCAAUGGGGGAAACCCUGAAGCAGCAACGCCGCGUGGAGGAGGAGGGUUUUCGGAUUGUAAGCUCCUUCUGUUAGAGAAGAUAAUGACGGUAUCCAACGAAUAAGCACCGGCUAACUCCGUGCCAGCAGCCGCGGUAAUACGGGGGGUGCAAGCGUUACCCGGAAUCAUUGGGCGUAAAGAGCGCGUAGGCGGGAUGGAAAGUCAGAUGUGAAAUCCUAUGGCUUAACUAUAGUACUGCAUUUGAAACUGUUAUUCUAGAGUAUGGGAGAGGUAGGUGGAAUUCUUGGUGUAGGGGUAAAAUCCGUAGAGAUCAAGAGGAAUAUUCAUGGCGAAGGCGCUCUGCUAGAACAUAAUUGACGCUGAUGCGCGAAAGCGUGGGGAGCAAAUAGGAUUAGAUACCCUUGUAGUC